This 253-nucleotide ribosomal RNA is filed under the name uncultured bacterium. Its description in RNAcentral is "partial 16S ribosomal RNA". It matches the Rfam family "Bacterial small subunit ribosomal RNA", at positions 524 to 776 of the family's 1533-position model. The record is from RNAcentral.
GACGGAGGAUGCAAGCGUUAUCCGGAAUGAUUGGGCGUAAAGCGUCCGCAGGUGGCAGUUCAAGUCUGCUGUCAAAGACCGGGGCUUAACUUCGGAAAGGCAGUGGAAACUGAACAGCUAGAGUAUGGUAGGGGCAGAGGGAAUUCCUGGUGUAGCGGUGAAAUGCGUAGAGAUCGGGAGGAACAUCAGUGGCGAAGGCGGCUACCUGGCCCAAUACUGACACUCAGGUGCGACAGCGUGGGGAGCAAACAGG